CCUACGGGUGGCAGCAGUGAGGAAUAUUGGUCAAUGGGCUCGAGCCUGAACCAGCCAAGUCGCGUGAGGGAAGACGGUCCUAUGGAUUGUAAACCUCUUUUGUCGUGGCGCAAAAGACGCCACGCGUGGCGUUCCGAGAGUACCCGAAGAAAAAGCCUCGGCUAACUCCGUGCCAGCAGCCGCGGUCAUACGGAGGAUGCGAGCGUUAUCCGGAUUUAUUGGGUUUAAAGGUUGCGCAGGCGGAAGAUCAAGUCAGCGGUAAAAUUGAGAGGCUCAACCUCUUCGAGCCGUUGAAACUGGUUGUCUUGAGUGAGCGAGAAGUAUGCGGAAGGCGUGGUGUAGCGGUGAAAUGCAUAGAUAUCACGCAGAACUCCGAUUGCGAAGGCAGCAUACCGGCGCUCAACUGACGCUCAUGCACGAAAGCGUGGGGAGCAAACAGGAUUAGAUACCCCUGUAGUC
This 459-nucleotide ribosomal RNA is filed under the name uncultured bacterium. RNAcentral describes it as "partial 16S ribosomal RNA". It matches the Rfam family "Bacterial small subunit ribosomal RNA", at positions 338 to 795 of the family's 1533-position model. The record is from RNAcentral.